This 300-nucleotide ribosomal RNA is filed under the name uncultured Bacillus sp. RNAcentral describes it as "partial 16S ribosomal RNA". It matches the Rfam family "Bacterial small subunit ribosomal RNA", at positions 496 to 795 of the family's 1533-position model. The record is from RNAcentral. Lineage: Bacteria; Bacillati; Bacillota; Bacilli; Caryophanales; Bacillaceae.
GCCAGUUCGCGUGCAAGGUGCCGGGGUGAUACGGAGGGGGCGAGCGGUGGUAGUAAUUACUUGGCCGAAAGCGCACGUAGGCGGACCAGAAAGUCAGAUGUGAAAUCCCCUGGCUCAACCUUGGAACUGCCUUUGAAAGUCCUGGUCUUGAGUUCGAGAGAGGUGAGUGGAAUUCCGAGUGUAGGGGUGAAAUUCGUAGAUAUUCGGAGGAACACCAGUGGCGAAGGCGGCUCACUGGCUCGAUACUGACGCUGAGGUGCGAAAGCGUGGUGAGCAAACAGGAUUAGAUACCCCGUAGUC